RNAcentral lists this unclassified non-coding RNA (352 nucleotides) under soil metagenome. RNAcentral's name for it is "partial contains 5.8S ribosomal RNA, internal transcribed spacer 2, and large subunit ribosomal RNA". The stretch from base 1 to 120 matches the Rfam family "5.8S ribosomal RNA", at positions 35 to 154 of the family's 154-position model. The record is from RNAcentral.
GAUGAAGAACGUAGUGAAAUGCGAUAAGUAAUGUGAAUUGCAGAAUUCAGUGAAUCAUCGAAUCUUUGAACGAACAUUGCGCCCGCCAGUAUUCUGGCGGGCAUGCCUGUUCGAGCGUCAUUACAACCCUCAGGCCCCCGGGCCUGGCGUUGGGGAUCGGCGGAGCCCCCCGUGGGCACACGCCGUCCCCCAAAUGCAGUGGCGGUCCCGCCGCAGCUUCCAUCGCGUAGUAGCUAACACCUCGCGACUGGAGAGCGGCGCGGCCACGCCGUAAAACACCCAACUCUUCUGAAGUUGACCUCGAAUCAGGUAGGAAUACCCGCUGAACUUAAGCAUAUCAAUAAGCGGAGGA